AGAGUUUGAUCAUGGCUCAGAACGUACGCUGGCGGCACGCCUAACACAUGCAAGUCGAACGAAGUAGCAAUACUUAGUGGCAGACGGGUGAGUAACAUGUAGGUAUCUGCCCUUUGGCCUGGAAUAACACGAGGAAACUUGUGCUAAUACCGGAUAAGUCUUUGCGGAGAAAGCUUUAUGCACCAUUGGAUGAGCCUGCACUUGAUUAGUUUGUUGGUAGGGUAAUGGCCUACCAAGACUAUGAUCAAUAGCUGAUUUGAGAGGAUGAUCAGCCACAUUGGGACUGAGACACGGCCCAAACUCCUACGGGAGGCAGCAGUGGGGAAUCUUGCACAAUGGAGGAAACUCUGAUGCAGCGAUGCCGCGUGAGUGAAGAAGGCCUUUGGGUUGUAAAGCUCUUUCGUCGGGGAAGAAAAUGACUGUACCCGAAUAAGAAGGUCCGGCUAACUUCGUGCCAGCAGCCGCGGUAAUACGAAGGGACCUAGCGUAGUUCGGAAUUACUGGGCUUAAAGAGUUCGUAGGUGGUUGAAAAAGUUGGUGGUGAAAUCCCAGAGCUUAACUCUGGAACUGCCAUCAAAACUUUUCAGCUAGAGUAUGAUAGAGGAAAGCAGAAUUUCUAGUGUAGAGGUGAAAUUCGUAGAUAUUAGAAAGAAUACCAAUUGCGAAGGCAGCUUUCUGGAUCAUUACUGACACUGAGGAACGAAAGCAUGGGUAGCGAAGAGGAUUAGAUACCCUCGUAGUCCAUGCCGUAAACGAUGUGUGUUAGACGUUGGAAAUUUAUUUUCAGUGUCGCAGCGAAAGCGAUAAACACACCGCCUGGGGAGUACGACCGCAAGGUUAAAACUCAAAUGAAUUGACGGGGACCCGCACAAGUAGUGGAGCAUGUGGUUUAAUUCGAAGAUACGCGCAGAACCUUACCAACACUUGACAUGUUCGUCGCGACUCUAAGAGAUUAGAGUUUUCGGUUCGGCCGGACGAAACACAGGUGCUGCAUGGCUGUCGUCAGCUCGUGUCGUGAGAUGUUGGGUUAAGUCCCGCAACGAGCGCAACCCUCACUUUUAGUUGCCAUCAUUAAGUUGGGCACUCUGAAAGAACUGCCAGUGAUAAGCUGGAGGAAGGUGGGGAUGACGUCAAGUCCUCAUGGCCCUUACGUGUUGGGCUACACACGUGCUACAAUGGCAUCUACAACAGGAAGCAAAACGGCAACGUUAAGCAAAUCCCAAAAAGAUGCCUCAGUUCGGAUUGCACUCUGCAACUCGAGUGCAUGAAGCUGGAAUUACUAGUAAUCGUGGAUCAGCGUGCCACGGUGAAUGCGUUCCCGGGUCUUGUACACACCGCCCGUCACACCAUGGGAGUUGGUUCUACCUUAAGGCAAGGUUUCAAACCCUUGACCACGGUAUAGUCAGCGACUGGGGUGAAGUCGUAACAAGGUA
This 1433-nucleotide ribosomal RNA is filed under the name uncultured bacterium. RNAcentral's name for it is "bacterial SSU rRNA". It matches the Rfam family "Bacterial small subunit ribosomal RNA". The record is from RNAcentral.